CACGAAGGGGGCUAGCGUUGCUCGGAAUCACUGGGCGUAAAGGGUGCGUAGGCGGGUCUUUAAGGCAGGGGGGAAAUCCUGGAGCUCAACUCCAGAACUGCCUUUGAUACUGAGGAUCUUGAGUACGGGAGAGGUGAGUGGAACUGCGAGUGUAGAGGUGAAAUUCGUAGAUAUUCGCAAGAACACCAGUGGCGAAGGCGGCUCACUGGCCCGUAACUGACGCUGAGGCACGAAAGCGUGGGGAGCAAACAGG
RNAcentral lists this ribosomal RNA (253 nucleotides) under uncultured bacterium. RNAcentral describes it as "partial 16S ribosomal RNA". It matches the Rfam family "Bacterial small subunit ribosomal RNA", at positions 524 to 776 of the family's 1533-position model. The record is from RNAcentral.